AAACAGGAUGUGUUAUGUUUUUGUUUGCGAAUCAAACGUAUAUAAACCUUUGUGUCACACACAUCCUUGACGCGAAUACAUUCAUGUUAGUUGAAUGUUUUUAUGAUCAACUAACUGACUUCUUUUGUUCUUGCACACAGAGAGAUUUCUUAACGUUACAAAAAAAAAACAUGAAGGGAAGAUUUGAUAUUGUCUUACUUGGAUUUGCAAUCAUUCAUGCCUUUGUUCAGCUGUCGUCUGCUAGCAAUGACACCGAGAAGAUACCAUCGUAUGAAACUAGCACCUAUAUUCAUGAUGACUGGAGAAGGCCCGAGUAUGACCAGAACGUAUGUACCACGAAACCUCUGGACGACUACAGAGAGGAGGUGACCUGUAUAACACAAGUGAAAUUUAAACAAAGCAAACUGGACAAAUUAGUGGAAAAGGUUGAAAAUAUGGAAAACAAGUUGAACCAACUGGAAUCCAAGUACGAUGAAAGUCAGCGUGAUAUUGAGGGUCUCAACACGGAGGUACUCGAUCUCAAGAAUCGUGUCACCGGGCUUGAGUCAAACCUAACCGCUACGGUCAGUACUGUCAAAGCACAGGAAAAGGUGUUGAACGACCUGAGGCAGAGUCUAGCCAGCACAACCUCAAAUGUGAACGCCGUCAGGAGCAAUUUGGCCAGCAUUAGAACUGAAGAGGGGACUGUGUACUGUUCAUCUAGUAAUGAGUUUAGAUUAACUUCCUCAGAGGGGGUAUACAAUAGGGUUAAGUAUGUUAGGGUUAAUUUCAGAUCACCUUUCACCAAAGUCCCACAGGUUUGGGGAUCGAUACGAGCAGUGGAUGCUGACAGAAACACAAAUUUCAGAUACAACUUUCAAGUCCGCGAUAUUAGUACCUUAGGGUUUACCGUGGUUUGUCAGACGUGGGCCGAUACUCUCUUGCAUGGAAUCGAUUAUCAAUGGCGAGCAACAACGCCUAUAAAUUAAAUUUUUACUUUCAUAUUAAAAGAUUAUAACAUUCCAGUUCAAUAGACAAAUAUUUUCAUGUAUAUAAGUUACAGAAAAGAAUUAGACAAUAUGUAUAUACUAUGUUUAUUAAAGAAAAGAAAAUGAAUUUUCUAUAUUGAAAUUUGGCAUCUAUAUUUGGUCUUCAGAUCCCAGAACUAAACAAAAACAAAAUUACUGUAUUUAUUUUUUUUUUGUGUGUGAAAAUCUCCAAAGAAUCAAAGUAGACGAAGGAAUAUUUGACUAUUAUAAAAGUUCGACUUUCUAUUAAAACGAAACGAAGUAACAGAGUUUUUUUUUUUUUUUUGUAUAAUGUGUAAGAAGAACUCUUCAUUCUUGUUCAGAGCGAUAAUAUAAAUUUAUCUUUUUUUUUUUUAAAUGAAAACCGGAAGUGUUUAGCUUUAUUUGGCAAUUUUUUUUAACGAAUGCCAUACCCGGGAAAUUAUUAGUUUACACAAUUUUCUUUGAAUUAUAUUCACACCACUUUACAAGUAGCUGUAAAUUAACUUUCUUUAACAAGUAGCUGUAAAUUAAAUUUGAUUUACAAGUAGCUGUAAACUUACAUUAUGAUACACUACAAAGUAAUGCAGAUCACCAACUUUCUGAUGUAUAUUUCAUAAGUAAGAUUCAACAGAAACUGUGGAAUUUAACGUAGAACUUGUUUGCUCUCGUAUACAUUGUUUGUUCUAGUUCUCUAUUAUUAUGUAUUAUGCACAAUGGUAAAACAAAUGUCCCCACGAAUACUAAAGAUUAUUAUCAAUAUUGUUAUAUGUAAUCGCUACUAUUUAUAUUCUAGCCAAACUGUAUAUAUAACCAUGAAAGUGAUAGAAUACACUUUUCUGUCACUGCUUCUGUUCAUUUAAUUCUGUUUAUUUUUUUCCUACUUAGAUUUAUCUAGGCUCAAAUAAGAAAACUAUUUUUUUUAAAUACUUUAUACAACUUAUAGAACGAUUAAUUUUCUCUUAAUCACUAAUAAAUGUUAGAUAUUUUUUUAAUUUGAAUAUUUUUAUCCCCGCCACAUCUCCCCCUCCCCCAAUUAAGCGAAGGUAUAGAUUCCAUCUCAUCUCUGCCUGUGGUCCCUUCUGAGGAAUAGGCCACCAACCAGCUUCCUCCAAGCAUCUCGGUUCUGGGCGAGUCUCUCCAACUGUCCCCAUGUCUUGCCCAUCUGCUUGGCAUCUACUUCUAGAUCGCAGCGCCAUGUAUUCCUGGGCCGUCCCCUCUUCCUCUUUCCUUAAGGGUUCCAAGUUAGGGCUUGCCUUGUUUAUGUUGGAUGCAGGCUUGCGAAGGGUGUGAACUAUCCAUCUCCAGCGUCUUUAUAGGAUAUCUACUUCAAUGGGCUGCUGCUUUGUUCUUUGCCACAGUCCCAGGUCUCUGUUCUAUAAAGUAGUAUAGGCUUAUUGGUUUUAAAGAGCCUGAUCAUUAUGGUGGUGCUUAUUUCCCUAGAUCUCCAGGUGUUCUUCAGCUGAUGGAAGGCUGCUCGAGCUUUACCAAUGCGGGUUAUGAUAUCUGCAUCUGUUCCUCCAUGGUGGUCUAGGAUACUGCCGAGAUAGUUGAAGCUUCCCACCUCUUCCAGCGCCUCACCAUGGACUGUAAUGGGCGUGUUGUUGGAUGUCUUCAUCUUGAACACCUUGCUCUUCCCUCUAAUUAUGGUAAGACCCAUUCUAGCUGAAUUUUCCGCAACGACGCUUAUAGUUUUCCUGCAUCUGCUGUUGUGUGUGAGAAAGAAGAGUCAAGUCAUCUGUAAAGACGGGGUCGUCUAGCUGUUUCCACAGUGUCUACUGUAUACCAUUCCUCUUCUUGUCUGUUGUUGUCUUCAUGACCAAAGGUAUAGAUCUACUAGACAUAGAAUUCCAAUAAAAGGUCUUUAGAUCUAGACAAAGCGCAAAAUAUUCCUGAACAUUAGUUUAUUAAACUCUUGAAUGUUUGAACGAAUAAAGCCUACAUGUUGAAAUACACAAAGUCCGUUAUUUUCUCGAUCUCUAGCUAAAUUUAAAUGUAUUUCUUUUGUUUACUUUGAACAAUUAUAAAGGUCAAACUAGAGUUUUCUCGGUAUGGCCAACGAGCUAGUCAUUCUUUUCCCAGCGAUAUACAUCAACUGUCAAAUUUCUAGGAAAAUCGUUAGAGCUGUUUUCGAAAUCCUUGUCCACUCAGGUUUUUGAGCCCACCCACCCAGAAGGUCUUAGUUUUAGUUUCCACGAAGGUACAAGUUGAAUAGAGAUAUUGUAAAAAACAGACAAUAAAGACAGUUUGGUGCCACAAUAGCGGCCAAAAAGCUUAUUGCGUCUCCUUUUUGGUGGUCCGCUCAAAAGUAAAUAAUAGUUUGUUAAUUAUUUCUAUUAAAAAUUAUGGGUUUCUAUCUAAUUGCUAAGCCCUCUAAUUAUAUUUAAGGCCUUUUACAAUUUAUCCUAAAAAUUUUAAUGAUUGAUUUUUUUUUAAUAAAAUAAACAUGCUUUUAAGGCGGAGGAACGGACAUUAAAGGGAUGGCCAAUGUCGUGGUUGACCAAAACAGGCCACAUUUAUUUUGUGUCACAUUACCUUACUUCAGUGUCUCUCAAAGUGGGGUAGGUGUACCCUCAGGGGUAUGGGAAGACUUUGUAGAGGGUACGCGUUGCGCCUCGUUAACUAUGCUGAUUUUAAAAAAAAUACCCAGUUAUUAUGUUCUGUUAAUAAAUUAAAGUGUGGUUGGAGUGGGGGGGGGGUGGCGAGGGGUACUAAGCAUUACAAAAAUUAUAAAAGGGCUUACACAUAGGUCAAAAGUUUGGGAAAAACUGCGGCGUAGACCUACUUCAACAGUGUUGUUAGCAGUCUUAACAUCUGAAAAUGUGGAAACUAUUAUGUUACGACAGAAACAACAAGAGAUAAGUUCUCGUGAGUCUAACGCAAGCAGCACUUUCAUUGGCUAAUGUGUUGCAUAUAUCGUGUAAUCCGAUGUUUCUCAUAAUAAUAAUAAUGAUAAUAAUAAUAAUAAUUUAUAGCGUAAUGUAGGCUCAAAGCGCUGUGAUAACAUUACAAACAUAAACACAAGCGUUAAAAUGACAAACUCAUCUAAAAAUAUUUUGAACAGAUAGGUCUUAGCGUUCUUCUUAAAUGUAGGGAAGCAUGUUGUCUGAGAUAAAUGUGGAGUGAGUUCCAAAGCUUUGGUCCGUGUACUGAAUAAGUCCGCAAACCAUAACUUUUGAGGGAGAAACGCGGCCUCACUAGAAGCGUUGAUCCCAUGACGUUUAGGGCUCUCUGAAAGACAUAUUGAGUAAUCAUACAAAGGCAUACUAGGGAAUGGCGGGGACGUGACGUCCUCUCUGGGAGGCUCUAGGUUUUGACGAAAAAAAAUUUUCAAUUUAUUUUUAAAGAUAGAAAAAAGAAGUAUUCUUUUCAUUGUAGUUAUGGAUACAUGUUUGAAUAUUAACCAUGUGAAAUGACAGUGUUUCAAAAUCUAAAUAUAUUAAGCAAAAGACGCCAUUUAAUGUUCUAAUAAGAACCGUCUCUAAUCAACUUUUUUAAAGAAGACUCUUCAUUCAAAACUUCUCCCCAUUGUGAUUAUGCUCAAUUGGUAUUAGUUUACGUGAUUAGAAACGCUAAAUCAGGUUUCUCUAAUAUUUUAAGAAUAUGCAGAAAAAAAUGCAGAUUACAAAUAUGUAAUUUAAUUUUCUCGGAGAUAAAUAGUUUUUAAAAUAUAUAUUUUUAAGUUUUAUUUCUUAUUACGUAUAUUGUCAUUGGAAAUACGCCAUUUUGGUUUAAAGGCUUAAUACUAGACUAUCUCCCUUGAAUUACUUGCCAACAUUUUUCUGUUGCUGUUUUGUCUUUCUUUCUAGCAGCUAUUAGAUCUAAUAUUAAAAUUCAUUUAAAAUGAUAGCAUAAGAACAAAAAAUUCUUUUAGAAAAAGAGUUAUUGAAAAAAAGAAGAAACAACUUCAUCAAUUUAUUAUUAACAUUUUUUUAGACCUUCAUUUCAGUAAAUACACUUAAAAAUUAAUAAGUUGACAGCAUAAGAACAAAAAUCUCUUUAAAAAAAGGUUAAUAUAGAUAAGGGAGAUAAAUAUGCUUAAAAACAACAUGGUGGUCAGUAAAGGUAUUUGGGUAUCUAAACUAUUACCGACCAAUUUUUAGCGGCCCCCGAACUAAUAUUAGUUUUGUGUGAAAUGUCUGUCCGUCCGUCUGUCCGUCUGUCCCAUUUAGAUCUCGUAAACUAGAAAAGAUAUUGGAAAUUCGACAUCAUAAUAUUUUAGUCCUUUCAAAGUUCUGAUGCAACGGCUACUUUUUUUCUUUUCUAAAAGCAAAAAAUCUAAUUUUUAAAAUCACCUGUGCAAGCAGUUUUUUCAUAAAAAUACACAACUUUCACAACUAUUCACUAUUAAGUAACAAAGACGGGAGGCUCUUUAGUAGGGAACAUUGCAAUUUGCCAUAUUUUAAACACAUUUAUGCAAAUGGUUUUAGAUUUUUUGUCAAUUUUUUUUUUUUACAUUUGUAUUGCUACGUUAUGUAAGUUCUGUCCUACUAACUAGUACAUUGAGCCAAAAUAAUGUUUACUUUUUUUAAGAGAAAAAAGCUAUUUGGUAUGCAUAUAAGUUGGACAUAAUUUAAAACAGCAAUUAAUAAGUAGUUUUUCAUAUUAUCGCGUGAACUGAAGUGCGCCGAUACAACCAUAAACACUUAACUAAAGGAAUUUUUUAAUUUUUUUUUAUGGAAAUGUUUUUUUUUUCUUUUUUCUUAAAUUAUCUGAAUUGUAACAUUGUUUUGUAUCAGAAUAGUCUAAAUACUCUUGACUAUUGUACACAAUCUCGCUGACGACAAAAGCAAUAAAAAUGAAAUAUAAAUGUCCGCGGGAAGAGGUCUUACUUAACAAGAAGAUGAUUUUAAGACAACGAAUGUGCCUCAAAUAAUAUUAGCCAGUGUUGUCUCAUUCUUUGUUAGAUUAAGUUUGAUCUGCGACUUUUGUUUUUUCCCUAUGCUGAAUAGUGCGGUCUGAUUGCAAGAAAACCCCCGUCACACCCCUUUGUUUAACAUGCCCUUAUUUUACUUUGAGAGAAAGGCGUUGUAGAUGCAGGAGAAAGAAUUUCUGAAGUCUAGAACGCAGGAAAAGCUUGACGCUGGGAUUCUGCCCCGUACCCGCUGGAGAAUUGCAUUGCUCCCAAAUAUUAUUUCCGGAAAGAAAUCUUUCAAACAAAUAUCUACAAAACAAUAUUUCAGAAAAAGAAGAGUAAAAGGACCACUUCAAUAAAUGUAAUUAGGCCUAUGUACAUUUCGAUUUGAAACAUAAUGUAAAUAUGUACCGGGAAAUGUGUUCUAAUUUAAUCAUUUCAGUUUCUUUUCUUUUUCAUUAUAGCCUGAAUAUCCUUCCGGACUACAACGCUCCUUCAGAUCCUUACUUACCAGGCUAAGGAGGGCUCGAAUGAAAUUUGUUUUUAAGGGGGCGCCACGAGUAAAAGUUUGAGAAACACUGAUGUAAUCUGUAUUAUUUUCAAAUGUUCCAACCUUGUGUUAAUCAUGACCCACUGUGCUUUGUAAUCAGUUUAUCCAGCAACGUUUGAAAUGUGCGUUUCACUUUAGUACGCAAAGGUUCUUCAAUUUAUUGCUCUGUGUUUCAGAGUGUUGGCUUAUUAUCUUUAUAUUUUCUUCAGAUAAACUGUAAACAAGUUCAACAUGUCAGUAGUAGGCAUAAAGACAAACGCAGCUUUAUUCUUAUUUAUGUUUGUCCUAUCUACAUUAGCAGGUUCUAUUUCACUAUCCCAAGUCAACAACACUACACAGCACAACUCCGAAGACAACAUCCCAUAUGUUGAGGUAAACUGGAGAAGGUCUGAAGAAGAUCAGAUAGGCCAUCAUGCGUGUACUGCCAGAAAACUGGACGACAACAGCGAAGAAGUCACCUGCUCCACGCACGUCAAGUUUAGACAGAACAGAUUAGAUGGCUUGUCGGAGAAAACGCAGAGUUUACAAGAUAGGUUGAAACAACUUGAAGCUAGGUUUGAGCAUUUUCUUCAGCAGCAAAAUGACGAAUUGUAUUCAGUCGAUAGCCUUGAGAAGAGACUCAAUGUUACAGUUGAAAACCUUGAUAUUGUCAGAAAUACUUUGUCAAACAUCCGAACCGAAGAAGGCUUCGUUAAUUGUUAUGACAGCAACGGUUUCAGUCUCUUCCCUUCAGAAGGUCUGCCCAAUAGAGUUAGGUUUAUAAAGGUCAACUUUACAAAACCAUUCUCCAAGAUACCGGAAGUAUGGGGAUCCAUUAGAGCAGUGUCCACAAACAAAAACACAAAUUUUAGAUAUCUUUUUACAGUGAGGAACAUCGAUACAUUGGGAUUUACUUUAGGAUGUCACACUUGGGGCGAUACUAUAAUAGAUGGAAUCGAUUAUCAAUGGCGAGCAACUACUCCCAUCAACUGAUAAGAUCGCAUUAUAUAAUGCUUGGAAAAACAUAUAACUUUAUAGUUUCUGCUUUAGAAUGUAUAAUUGAGAUGAGUAAGCCAGGUCUUUUUUUUUAUAUUCAUUUUACAGACAAUAAUACUCCUUUAUUCAAGACGUUUUGAAUACAAAAUAAAUUGGAAAACUUUGUUAGCUAUCCAUAACAUUAUUAUGUUAAUUUUUUUUGUUCAUUAGUAGCUUACACUAUGCUCAUCAUAUUAAGUAGUAAUAUUCAACCGUUAAUUACAGAAUGAGACGUAUUUCCAGAAGCUGAAAAUGGGGACGAGAAAUUCGCCCCUGUAGAGAGUCACCUGAGAAUCCCGUCCGUGUCCUGGACGUUCUUUAUUGAGAACGCAGAAGAAGAUCUUUCUGACCAUAGCUAACACCCAGGAUUUCAUCUAAUUUCUUCGAAAUGGUCCACAGUUACUUUUUGACUGAAGGAGGCCAUAGAUGUUCCAUGAAAAAAACUUAAAGGACCGAUGAUGAUACUGAAUACAACCUUGCAAUCAAUACAGAUCACAUUCCAGUCACGCUUUACAUAGCAAUGAAAACAAAAAUAAAUAAAAUGAGAAUGGACUAUGAAAUGUAAAAACAACCUAGCCUUCUGUUAAAAACAACCUAGCCUUCUGUUAAGCAAACACGCGUCCACCAGGAUAAAAUGUUUAUUUUGUUAUGGUACGUUUUCAAAUAAGGACUGUUCUCAAUGUGUUAUGGUCAUUACUGUAAUUGCUUGUAAUGUGACUAUCAGUUCUAGGAUAAUGGUAUAAUGUUCCAAAUGUCAAGAGAAUAAUUUCCUUGUCAACAAUUAGACACCUCAGCGUUAAGUUUUCAGAAACAAAAAAGUGUGAGUAAUUAAUGGAUGAAGAAAAAAAAUGUUUUUAUCUCUUAUUAAAUAUUAAUUGACAAUAACAAAUAUGUCUAACUGCUACUUAAUCUAUUGCAAUCUGAUUCUUUUACUGGUAAAUAGCUAAAUGACUUUUUAAACUAACAUUGAGACAACUAUUGAGAAAUAAUGUUAAAUACUGAAAGAUCACUUAUCUAAUAGUCUGAUGGACCGUUCGGGCACAAUACAUGAUCUGUCGACUCCUCUCUCCAUUCUUCUUUGUCUUUUACCAUGACUAGAAUCUCUUUCAAUGACAGGCCUGUCCAUUCAUUGUUGUUACCUUCCGAUCACUUUCUGCCUCUUUCCUUUCUUUCCCCUGAUACUGUUCUCUGUAGGAAGGUCUUUGUGAGCAUGAGAACAUUGUACUAUGGCCAUACCUUUUUGGUUUGCUUUUUUUUUGGACAGAGGUCAGCAGGUCAUUGUAGGCCCCACUACCAUUGUGAUUUGUGAUCCUGUUUCGAUUGACCUCAUUUGUGGUGUAGCAUCUCAAUUCCAUGGCUCAGAUUCUCAUCUCAAAUUCUGCAGUUAUCGUCCAAGAUUCGCAAGCAUACAAGCAAUAACAAACAACUUCUCUUUUUAGUUUUCAAUUAUCAAUCAGAAAGAAGUUUCACUAACAUUGAAGUGAAUUAUACUUAAAAGAAUAUUUUUAACUUAUAAUAAAACGAAAUGGCAAAUUGGAUGCCUCAAUAGCAAUAAGGCGUUGUCUUCGAUUUUGAAGAUUAAAGAUGAGUGCAGCAUUUUAAAUGACCGGGCAAACCCAUUUGUAACCUGCAUAGUUUGCAACAUCUAAGGCAGACAAAGCCUUUCUACAUUAUGUGGCUAUUUACGUUUUUUUGUAUUUUUUGGCUUCUGCGCAUGUCCUCAGCAAGGAUCCUUCUUUGGGUAGCAAUAAGAUAGGAGGCAACAUAAAAA
Long non-coding RNA from Biomphalaria glabrata, 9176 nucleotides. RefSeq lists it as uncharacterized. The record is from RefSeq and is a predicted model, not a curated record. The transcript has 6 exons. NCBI's taxonomy places the organism in Eukaryota, Metazoa, Mollusca, Gastropoda, Planorbidae.